GAGGAUUACACUGUCUCCCCCUCUAAAUCAAUGAAACUGAUCCCCCCGUGAAGAAGCGGGGAUAAAUAUAUAAGACGAGAAGACCCUAUGGAGCUUUAAACUAAACACCACUUACCUUCUACCACUCCCUUACAAACAGGUAAAGAUCGUGUGUGUUUUCAGUUGGGGUGACUGCGGAGCAAAAUAAAACCUCCACGAUGAAAUAACCCUUUAAUCUAAGAACAACAUUUCAAAGAAUCAACAAAUUGACAUAAAUUGACCCAAAUACUAAUUUGAUCAACGAACCAAGUUACCCUAGGGAUAACAGCGCAAUCCAUUUCAAGAGCUCAUAUCGAC
RNAcentral lists this ribosomal RNA (336 nucleotides) under Chiasmocleis sp. JFT-2014. RNAcentral describes it as "partial 16S ribosomal RNA". It matches the Rfam family "Bacterial large subunit ribosomal RNA", at positions 2006 to 2509 of the family's 2925-position model. Lineage: Eukaryota; Metazoa; Chordata; Amphibia; Anura; Microhylidae. The record is from RNAcentral.